AUUGAACGCUGGCGGCAUGCCUUACACAUGCAAGUCGAACGGAAGCAUGAUCUCGCUUGCUAGAUUGAUGGCGCGUGGCGAACGGGUGAGUAAUACAUCGGAACGUGCCCUGUAGUGGGGGAUAACUAGUCGAACGAUUAGCUAAUACCGCAUACGACCUGAUGGUGAAAGUGGGGGACCGCAAGGCCUCAUGCUAUAGGAGCGGCCGAUGUCUGAUUAGCUAGUUGGUGAGGUAAAGGCUCACCAAGGCGACGAUCAGUAGCUGGUCUGAGAGGACGAACAGCCACACUGGGACUGAGACACGGCCCAGACUCCUACGGGAGGCAGCAGUGAGGAAUUUUGGACAAUGGGCGAAAGCCUGAUCCAGCAAUGCCGCGUGUGGGAAGAAGGCCUUCGGGUUGUAAAGCACUUUUGUCCGGAAAGAAAUGGCUCUGGUUAAUACCAGGGGUCGAUGACGGUACCGGAAGAAUAAGGACCGGCUAACUACGUG
This 490-nucleotide ribosomal RNA is filed under the name uncultured bacterium. RNAcentral describes it as "partial 16S ribosomal RNA". It matches the Rfam family "Bacterial small subunit ribosomal RNA", at positions 30 to 507 of the family's 1533-position model. The record is from RNAcentral.